Molecule: ribosomal RNA, 253 nt
Filed under: uncultured bacterium
Lineage: Bacteria
Description: partial 16S ribosomal RNA
Rfam family: Bacterial small subunit ribosomal RNA
Source: RNAcentral
GCCGGGGCAUGCACGCGCUAUCCGGAAUCACUGGGCGUAAAGCGUCUGUAGGUGGUGAUGCAAGUCACUGGUGCAAAACUCUGGCUCAACCGGAGGAAAGCCAGUGAAACUGCAUGACUAGAGUGUGGGAGAGGUAGAAGGAAUUCCCUGAGUAGCGGUGAAAUGCGUAGAUACAGGGAAGAACACCGGAGGCGAAAGCGUUCUACUGGAACACAACUGACACUGAGAGACGAAAGCUAGGGGAGCGAAUGGG